GACGAACGCUGGCGGCGUGCCUAAUACAUGCAAGUCGAGCGGACGGAUGGGAGCUUGCUCCCAGACCGUCAGCGGCGGACGGGUGAGUAACACGUGGGCAACCUGCCUGUAAGACUGGGAUAACUCCGGGAAACCGGGGCUAAUACCGGAUAACUCUUUCCCUCACAUGAGGGAAAGCUGAAAGAUGGCAUCUCGCUAUCACUUACAGAUGGGCCCGCGGCGCAUUAGCUAGUUGGUGAGGUAACGGCUCACCAAGGCGACGAUGCGUAGCCGACCUGAGAGGGUGAUCGGCCACACUGGGACUGAGACACGGCCCAGGCUCCUACGGGAGGCAGCAGUAGGGAAUCUUCCGCAAUGGACGAAAGUCUGACGGAGCAACGCCGCGUGAGUGAUGAAGGUUUUCGGAUCGUAAAACUCUGUUGUCAGGGAAGAACAAGUACCGGAGCAACUGCCGGUACCUUGACGGUACCUGACCAGAAAGCCACGGCUAACUACGUG
This 498-nucleotide ribosomal RNA is filed under the name uncultured bacterium. Its description in RNAcentral is "partial 16S ribosomal RNA". It matches the Rfam family "Bacterial small subunit ribosomal RNA", at positions 28 to 507 of the family's 1533-position model. The record is from RNAcentral.